Molecule: RNA transcript, 3252 nt
Organism: Acinonyx jubatus (cheetah)
Lineage: Eukaryota; Metazoa; Chordata; Mammalia; Carnivora; Felidae
Gene: OGG1
Gene name: 8-oxoguanine DNA glycosylase
Exons: 9
Source: RefSeq, a predicted model, not a curated record
CCACAAGCCCCAGUGGGCACAGGGUGUGAGAUGAUGGAGCACUGUUUAAGGAAUGCCCUGCGACUGAAGGGAGCAGCUGGGUGGAGCGGCUGGGUAGCGCGGGGCGCGGCAGUAGGAGGACGAAGGUCUCUGACGGAGUGAACUCUGAAGAGACCUGACUGGAGUCGAGGCUCGGCGAGGCCUUGGAGGGGAGCGGCUUAGCGGGCGAGCGCGAAGACUCAAUCCUCAAGCGGCGGACGCUGUGGAGACGUCUCGGCCGCUCGGAGGGGCCCGAGCUGUGUUCGGAUCCAAUUCUCAGUCAGGAGGGCGAAUAUCUGACUGGAGAGGUUCGGUGGAGAAAGGCUCUCUGGGGGUGGUGGGGGACAGGAUUUGGCUCUGCGGACGAGCAAGCCAUGAGGAACCCCAGGGUUCCGAGGAGAUCUGGCAGUGCGGAUUGGGGUCUGAGGGCGCAUUCUGCGACCGGUCGGCGGGGCGCGGGGAUCGGACACCCUUGCCUGCCCAGUGCAGACAACCCCAAAGGCAAGGCCGAGAGCGGGCAGCGAGCCCAGCGCGCGCCAACCGCUGCGGCCCCUCGGAGAGACCCGCCCAUCCGCCGUCACACCCUAUUCUCAUUGGUGCCUCUUCUGCGCGGAUUGGCUACCUCCGGAUCCAAUAAGCCAGGCUUGCAUCCUACUUCCGGUGAGAGCGAAGUCGGCUCCCUGGAGAAGCCGGAAGAGUGCGUUUGCGCGCGCUUGCGGAAGUCGCGGCAGCUCUGAGCGCAGUGGUGCGCGCCGGGAGGCGUGGCCGGGAGAGUAUUCAUAACGGGAAAGGUCAGGAGGGUUGGUGCCCUGGUGGACUGUAAGGGGCGGGGCCUGCAGGGAGUGGAGGAAUUAAAUGAAAUUGGGCGGGCCUUCAAUAAACCUUUAGAGGCUCGGGCUUAGUGGGCAAGGCCUUAAAGAGUGCUGUGUGGUCACGGUCUUUUGGCGAUGAGUGGAGCUGGUACUGAGUGGGCGGGGCCAUUAUGGGGCGGAGCCUGGCGUGGAAUUGUUAGCUGGGUCCUUUUUGCUCUGGAGCAUGAGACAUCGUACUCGAGCCUCUUUCCCGGCCCUGUGGGCCUCCAUCCCCUGUCCACGCUCGGAACUGCGCCUGGACCUGGUUCUGGCUUCCGGACAGUCCUUCCGGAUGGGAGGGCCCUAAAGGGUGCAAGAAGGAAAACUGAGUACCAGAGUUGCUGUGUGCCUUGGGGGCUCAGGUGGAGGGAGCAAAACCCUGCGCACUGGACUGGCGUGCUGGGGAACCAAGUAUGGACACUGACCCAGACUGAGGAGCAGAUCUACUGUACUGUGUACCGAGGGGACAAGGGUUGGGUUGGCAGGCCCACACCAGAAGAGCUAAAGACUGUGCACCAGUACUUCCAGCUGGAUGUCAGCCUGGCUCAACUAUAUCACCACUGGAGUUCCGUGGACCCUCACUUUCAAGAGGUGGCUCACAAAUUCCAAGGUGUUCGACUUCUGCAACAGGACCCCGUCGAGUGCCUUUUCUCCUUCAUCUGUUCCUCCAACAACAACAUUGCUCGCAUAACUGGCAUGGUGGAACGCCUCUGCCAGGCUUUUGGACCUCAGCUCAUCCAGCUGGAUGAUGUCACCUACCAUGGCUUCCCCAGCCUGCAGGCCCUGGCUGGGCCAGAGGUAGAAGCUCAGCUCAGGAAGCUGGGCCUGGGGUAUCGUGCCCGUUACGUGAAUGCCAGUGCCCGAGCCAUCCUAGAAGAACAGGGCGGGUUGCCCUGGCUGCAGCAGCUGCACAAGGCCCCCUACGAGGAGGCCCACAAGGCCCUCUGCACCUUGCCUGGGGUGGGCACCAAGGUAGCUGACUGCAUCUGCUUGAUGGCCCUAGACAAGCCCCAGGCCGUGCCCGUGGAUAUCCACAUGUGGCAGAUUGCCCAGCGUGACUACAGCUGGCACCCCACCAUGUCCCAGGCCAAGGGUCCAAGCCCCCAGGCUAACAAGGAACUGGGAACCCAGAGCUGCAGCCAAGAGCAGCCUCUGUUCCACCCACUGUCAGCCAGAAGUGAAAAGAUGAGCCAGACUGGGCCAUGGCAAGGCCGCUGCAGGGCCUGGACUAUAGCAAACAGGAAGCAGUGAUAAACUGACCAGAGGAAGUACCACCCUGGAUGCAGUCACCCUAGCCAGCCAGGCCCAAGACUCCAGGUUUCUCCCCCUCCAAAUCAAAACACUCAGGAGGACGCUGACCUCCAGGAGAACAGCAGAGAAGACCCCAGAGCAGCUUGUACAAAGCUCUCAGCCAUGGCAACAAGGUCACUGAGUGAGGAAACAGGAGUAUGAAUGAGGAAAGGGAGGCAAUUAGAUGGAGUGAAUGAACAAAGGAGUCAGAGUCUUCAGUCUUCACAGACCAGAAAUAUUCUUUCAUUGCUCCCAUCGCUCUGGAAGCCUUCCCAAACUGAUUCUAGGAAGCUCUGAUCAUUUUAGAAAUGCCUCUUUUGUACUGAUACCAAAAGAAGACAACACAGAAGAGCAAUGAGAAAACACUCAACAACAGUAAAGAGAAGAGCCAAGGUUUGUUAAGCGUUUGGAAUGUAUGUUAAGCAUGUUGUGACAGAGGCUGCUGGCUGUCCAGCUACACUACAUUUCCCAGACUUCCUUGUGGUCAGAUGUGGCCAUGUGACAAACUCUCUCCAGUGGAAAGCGAUCAGAAGAGAUAAGAGCCACAGCCAGUCAUGGCCAUAAACCCCAUAAACCUUCCUUCACACAUUCUUCCUUGCUCUUUUUCUGUGGGCUUGGAGUAGUAAUCAUACCCAGAAUGACCUUGUGCAGAGCAGGUUUAGGGUGGCAAAACCAUCACAGAUGGGGUCCUUGUCUGAUGGGGUGGGGCUGAGAUCUCUCCCCUCCCCCACCUCAGCCAACCUGGAACACCUGGCCCAGACUGUUACACGAGAGAGAAAAACACUACUGUGUUUGAGCCAGGGAGAAAACUAAGGCUCAGUGAGGUGAAAGGAUGUGCCUAAGGCCAGAUAGUGGGCAUAAAGAAAGGGACUCUGUAUCUGAGGUUUGAAUCCUGCUUCUGUUUAUUAGCUGCAUGACUCCUAGCAAACAGUUCCUUUUCCUGAGCCUCAAUCUUCUAGUAUGUAACAUGGAGCAAACCACUGUCCUUGCCUCAACAAAAGGAUGCGUGGAAAGCCCCUUGCACAGGGGUCAGCCCUUAGCCAACAUUCAGCAAAAGUAACUGUGGUAUAGUGGCUACUUCUGGGAGAGGUUA